AGAGGCUUAGGAUGAAUUAGACCAAGGGCCUUCAAAGCCCUCAGUGGAGGUGAAAAUCCUCCAGCCCCUG
Molecule: transfer RNA, 70 nt
Filed under: Micromesistius poutassou (blue whiting)
Lineage: Eukaryota; Metazoa; Chordata; Actinopteri; Gadiformes; Gadidae
Description: transfer RNA-Trp
Rfam family: tRNA
About the family: Transfer RNA (tRNA) molecules are approximately 80 nucleotides in length.
Source: RNAcentral